Molecule: transfer RNA, 77 nt
Filed under: Gemmatimonadetes bacterium SCN 70-22
Lineage: Bacteria; Pseudomonadati; Gemmatimonadota
Also listed under: 2 other names
Description: tRNA-Arg
Rfam family: tRNA
About the family: Transfer RNA (tRNA) molecules are approximately 80 nucleotides in length. Their secondary structure includes four short double-helical elements and three loops (D, anti-codon, and T loops).
Source: RNAcentral
GCGCCAGUAGCUCAGUUGGAUAGAGCGGCAGCCUUCUAAGCUGUAGGUCGGGGGUUCGAUUCCCUCCUGGCGCACCA